RNAcentral lists this unclassified non-coding RNA (218 nucleotides) under Hevea brasiliensis (rubber tree). The record is from RNAcentral. Lineage: Eukaryota; Viridiplantae; Streptophyta; Magnoliopsida; Malpighiales; Euphorbiaceae.
CCCAUUUGCAGAAAUUCAUCUGUCAAUAAAAAAAAAGGGGGUCAAUAUAUAUAUAUAUAUACACAUACACACACACACACACAUAUAUAUGAGUAAUUUUAAGAGGUCAAUUGACCUCCCAUUUGUGGUAGUACAUCCGCCCCUGUAUGCAAUCCACGCAAAGCUGGUACCUGUAUUUCCAACCUCAAUCUCAACAAAAUUCGUGAACUUGGGAUCUC